This 78-nucleotide transfer RNA is filed under the name Candidatus Thalassarchaeaceae archaeon. RNAcentral describes it as "tRNA-Ile". It matches the Rfam family "tRNA". From Rfam's summary of the family: Transfer RNA (tRNA) molecules are approximately 80 nucleotides in length. Their secondary structure includes four short double-helical elements and three loops (D, anti-codon, and T loops). Further hydrogen bonds mediate the characteristic L-shaped molecular structure. tRNAs have two regions of fundamental functional importance: the anti-codon, which is responsible for specific mRNA codon recognition, and the 3' end, to which the tRNAs corresponding amino acid is attached (by aminoacyl-tRNA synthetases). tRNAs cope with the degeneracy of the genetic code in two manners: having more than one tRNA (with a specific anti-codon) for a particular amino acid; and 'wobble' base-pairing, i.e. permitting non-standard base-pairing at the 3rd anti-codon position. Lineage: Archaea; Methanobacteriati; Thermoplasmatota; Candidatus Poseidoniia; Candidatus Poseidoniales; Candidatus Thalassarchaeaceae. The record is from RNAcentral.
GGGCCCGUAGCUUAGUCUGGUUAGAGCGCUCGGCUCAUAACCGAGUGGCCACCGGUUCAAAUCCGGUCGGGCCCACCA